UGAGGUUGGAUCUCUUGAAUAUUUAUAACAUCAGUAGAGUUAUCAUCACUGCGCGUGACUACUAUUACGGUGAAGUCAGUGGAGCAGACAUUCGUAUUGGAAACUCACUGGAAAACAAUGGAAACAACAAUUCCAGAUGUGAUGUUACUUCCUAUUUACCUGGUAAUACUCAGAGUUUCUCAUGUCAUGGGAUGUCGGGACGUUAUGUGAAUGUGAUCAAGACUGGACUUACAGCUAUGCUCAUUCUGUGUGAAGUGGAAGUCUUUGCUUCAGAGAAUUUAGCAUUCAGAGGAACAGCUACACAGUCAUCUACCGGCUGGAAAGCUCAACAUGC
This is a long non-coding RNA of Triplophysa dalaica, 334 nucleotides long. RefSeq lists it as uncharacterized. The record is from RefSeq and is a predicted model, not a curated record. The transcript has 3 exons. NCBI's taxonomy places the organism in Eukaryota, Metazoa, Chordata, Actinopteri, Cypriniformes, Nemacheilidae.